RNAcentral lists this long non-coding RNA (563 nucleotides) under Homo sapiens (human). RNAcentral's name for it is "non-protein coding SNHG8:18". The stretch from base 433 to 563 matches the Rfam family "Small nucleolar RNA SNORA24". Lineage: Eukaryota; Metazoa; Chordata; Mammalia; Primates; Hominidae. The record is from RNAcentral.
CUUUCACAUUCGGGAAGCGUCGGGAUUAGGUGAAAGUACGUAGUUGUCUUUCGUAAGUUAAAAUGAUAAUUGGGCCGAAACUUACUGCCUUACCUAAAAGGCAGCGCAGUCAGGAUAUUGGUAGGUCGGGGGCGGCUUUGGAAACCCUUAAGUUUACAAGCAUGCGCGGACUUGAGUGCUCAUUAGGUCGCCGGGCGUCCACGUGCAGCCCUGGACCCUGAACCCCGGCGUGCGUGGGCCGUGGGCCCUCGGGGAAAGGUUCCGUGCACUCGGGGACUCCGGUGAAGCCUGUUCAGCCGUCUGUGUCAUGUGGCCAUCUUGAGUCUACUCUGUCGCUCUUGUGCCCUAGCACCCCGAGAACCGUCAGUUUGAGCCAGAUGGUGAGUAAUAACCUGUAGCAGUUUGGUUGCUGGUUAAUUCUGGAUUGUGAAUCUCCAUGUAUCUUUGGGACCUGUCAGCCGUGGCAGUCUCCCUUCCUAGCCAUGGAAGAGCAUAUCCUUGUUUAUUGGCAAAGCUGUCACCAUUUAAUUGGUAUCAGAUUCUGACUUGCACAAGUAACAUUC